AAUAUUGCACAAUGUUCGUAAUCCUGAUGCAGCAACGCCGCGUGAUGGAUUACUGCCUUCUGUUUGUAAACCUCUUUUAGUAGGGAAGAAGCUAAAGCGACGGUACCUCCAGAAAAAGCGCCGGCUAGCUACUUUCCAUCAGCCGCAGUAAUACGUAGGGCGCAAGCGUUAUCCGGAAUUAUUGGGCGUAAAGAGCUCGUAGGCGGUUGGUCACGUCUGCUGUGAAAUCCCGAGGCUCAACCUCGGGCCUGCAGUGGGUACGGGCAGACUAGAGUGCGGUAGGGGAGACUGGAAUUCCUGGUGUAGCGGUGAAAUGCGCAGAUAUCAGGAGGAACACCAAUGGCGAAGGCAGGUCUCUGGGCCGCUACUGACGCUGAGGAGCGAAAGCGUGGGGAGCAAAC
This 401-nucleotide ribosomal RNA is filed under the name uncultured bacterium. RNAcentral describes it as "partial 16S ribosomal RNA". It matches the Rfam family "Bacterial small subunit ribosomal RNA", at positions 360 to 773 of the family's 1533-position model. The record is from RNAcentral.